This 375-nucleotide ribosomal RNA is filed under the name Triticum aestivum (bread wheat). RNAcentral describes it as "partial small subunit ribosomal RNA". The record is from RNAcentral. Lineage: Eukaryota; Viridiplantae; Streptophyta; Magnoliopsida; Poales; Poaceae.
AUGCCAACACACAAGGGGAUGAGGAGGAGCCUCGUGCUGAGGACCCUGGAGCGGUGCAAGUCCGGUACUGGGUGGAGCGGCGGCGCAGCGCCGGCGGUGGCCGCCGGGUGCUUCUCGGUCUACGUCGGGCCGGAGCGUGAGCGGUUCAUGGUGCGCACGGACUGCGCCAACCACCCGCUGUUCCGGCGGCUCCUCGACGACGCCGAGCGCGAGUACGGGUGCGCGUCGCAGGGCCCGCUCGCGCUGCCGUGCGACGUCGACGCGUUCCUCGACGUCCUGUGGCCAGAUGGACCACGGAGACGACGACGACGGCAGUGCCGGCGGGGAAGAGAUUCCGAAGGCGGCGUUGCCGAUAUGCGGCUUGCUGCUGGGUAG